This 304-nucleotide ribosomal RNA is filed under the name uncultured bacterium. RNAcentral's name for it is "bacterial SSU rRNA". It matches the Rfam family "Bacterial small subunit ribosomal RNA", at positions 189 to 507 of the family's 1533-position model. The record is from RNAcentral.
GGUACGAGGGGACCAAAGUAUUUAUCGUCUUGAAGAGUGGGCUCGCGGCUGAUUAGCUAGUUGGUAAGGUAACGGCUUACCAAGGCGACGAUCAGUAGCCGAACUGAGAGGUUGAUCGGCCACAUUGGGACUGAGACACGGCCCAGACUCCUACGGGGAGGCAGCAGGUCGGGAAUAUUGCACAAUGGGGGAAACCCUGAUGCAGCGACGCCGCGUAAAGGAAGAAGGUCUUCGGAUUGUAAACUUUUGUCGACAGGGAAGAAAAAUGACAGUACCUGUGGAGGAAGCCCCGGCUAACUACGUG